CCUACGGGAGGCAGCAGUGAGGAAUAUUGGUCAAUGGACGAGAGUCUGAACCAGCCAAGUAGCGUGAAGGAUGACUGCCCUAUGGGUUGUAAACUUCUUUUAUAUGGGAAUAAAAUGUUCCACGUGUGGGAUUUUGUAUGUACCAUAUGAAUAAGGAUCGGCUAACUCCGUGCCAGCAGCCGCGGUAAUACGGAGGAUCCGAGCGUUAUCCGGAUUUAUUGGGUUUAAAGGGAGCGUAGGUGGAUUGUUAAGUCAGUUGUGAAAGUUUGCGGCUCAACCGUAAAAUUGCAGUUGAAACUGGCAGUCUUGAGUACAGUAGAGGUGGGCGGAAUUCGUGGUGUAGCGGUGAAAUGCUUGGAUAUCACGAAGAACUCCGAUUGCGAAGGCAGUUCACUGGACUGCAACUGACACUGAGGCUCGAAAGUGUGGGUAUCAAACAGGAUUAGAUACCCCAGUAGUC
RNAcentral lists this ribosomal RNA (460 nucleotides) under uncultured bacterium. RNAcentral describes it as "partial 16S ribosomal RNA". It matches the Rfam family "Bacterial small subunit ribosomal RNA", at positions 338 to 795 of the family's 1533-position model. The record is from RNAcentral.